AGAGUUUGAUCCUGGCUCAGGACGAACGCUGGCGGCGUGCCUAACACAUGCAAGUCGAGCGGAGACAGUGAGUAGCUUGCUAUGAGCUGUUUUAGCGGCGGACGGGUGAGUAACGCGUGAGCAACCUUUCCCAGACAGGGGAAUAACACACCGAAAGGUGUACUAAUACCGCAUAAGACCACGGGAUCACAUGGUUCUGGGGUAAAAGAUUUAUCGGGUUUUGGGGUGGGCGUCGCGUCCGAUUAGGUAGUUGGUGAGGUAACGG
RNAcentral lists this ribosomal RNA (265 nucleotides) under uncultured bacterium. RNAcentral's name for it is "partial 16S ribosomal RNA". It matches the Rfam family "Bacterial small subunit ribosomal RNA", at positions 8 to 263 of the family's 1533-position model. The record is from RNAcentral.